Molecule: long non-coding RNA, 1530 nt
Filed under: Anas platyrhynchos platyrhynchos (common mallard)
Lineage: Eukaryota; Metazoa; Chordata; Aves; Anseriformes; Anatidae
Description: lncRNA (ENSAPLG00000024649.1)
Source: RNAcentral
CUGUGUUUUCCUGCUGUCAGUACUGUGAAGUCUCCCCAUUGAGACAUGUUUGCCUUCCUGGGAACUGAUGCUCCGUGCUGGAAAUUAGGGGACUUCUGAGGUCACUUGGGCAGAUCUUUAAUAUCUUUGUUAUGCUCCCACUCUUUGGACACACAGACUGAGAAAAUGCCAAGCUAUUGCGUGUUUGCAACAAGAAUGGCACAAGACUUUGGAGUAUAUGGAUACAGGGCAGAACAAAUCAAAACCAAAAGAGCAUUCAGCUCUGACAGGAGGAGAUAAGAGACUCUGUCCACAGAGCUGGAGGAGGAACCUGGCACUGUAUCCUCUUUCUUCAUUGUUUCCCUCUUCUUUCAGCAGUUUUGGUUGCCUGUUACUCUUCCGCCCUCUCCUUCUCUCUGCAAAGAAGACUGCAGACAUUUUUGCUGGAUAAUCUGUCGUAAUUAGAAUGAUCUCCGCCGGCUGGCUUUUAUCAUCUUGUCAGAGGAAAUUACCCGGGCAGACUUCUCUUUCCCUCCCGCAGACAGUGGAGGGUGCUGUUGGAUUUGAUGUUGCAAAAAGGUGAAGCGGGAUCGUAUCCGUGUGCUACGCUGUUCUCAUAGAGAAUUGCCCAAAGUUCAUUUCCUCGCUUCCUAGAUGAACUUUGCAGAUACUGGCUUUCAGGUUGUGCUUUACUGGGAUGACUGGGAGUGCCAGUAGAGGGACAGGAUCCAUGCAUAGCUCAGGACAGUGAGGCUUCAGCUCAGUUAUUUCUCCAGGUGGGUGAAUGAGGAAGUAAACAUAGUAAUACAGGUUUGGAUUUUGACUGUCUGGCUGUGUGUCCCAUAAUAGCUUUAUUGCCUCUUGUCCAGAGAUGAUAUUUUUAAUUAAAAUUAAAAUUCUUGAGGAGAGGAGGGGGAGGAGAGGAGGAAUCAGGGGAAUCUGGUUCUCUGCCAGAGGAGGUCUGAGUCUGUCCACGCAGCACUCACUGCUUUUCCAAAGUAUGUUCUGAAUUAGGCAGAGUGCAGUACAUCUUCUUCAACGUGCUUGGCAAGAAGGCUUGAAGCCAUGAUAAAUGCAUGGAUGAGAAACCUUGCUCCCAAACUUGGAGAUUGUAUUAGGACACCCAAAGUCAGGACCAUUGCUCUUCAGCUGAGUUUGCAUUAGCCAAACGUGAUCUAAGAGCAGGAGCUCAGCAAGCCAGUCAGCCUGUCUGCUCUUGGUCCUUGAACAGGAUAUAGGAUGUGGUUAUUGAAUUUCAGAUGCUGUAUUUCAUUGUCGUCAGGAUACUGUGACUUUAUUAGUGAAUAUAUCACCAAUAAUAUGGCAUGUGGUCAAAGGAUGUGUCGUUCCCAAGCCCAAGCAAAUAGUAGAGAAUUAACAAAUGCAUUUCAAAGAAGCCCUUUGUGAAUUGCAAGUAUGUCUUGCUGCUACUGCCAUUUAGGCAUUUAUUUUCCCUCUAUACUACUUCUCCUGUAAAAAUUUCAAGUAGAAAUUCUACUCGAGCUUCCCAGCUAAAAUAAAACUAUCUGUUUUAUGGAUGAGUAACUGGAG